This 168-nucleotide ribosomal RNA is filed under the name Trimma caudomaculatum. RNAcentral describes it as "Trimma caudomaculata partial 12S rRNA". Lineage: Eukaryota; Metazoa; Chordata; Actinopteri; Gobiiformes; Gobiidae. The record is from RNAcentral.
CACCGCGGUUAUACGAUAGACCCAAGUUGACAGCCUUCGGCAUAAAGCGUGGUUAAUAAAACUUAAACUAAAGUCGAACCUCUUCAAGGCUGUUAUACGCUUACGAAAGAGAGAAGCCCAACAACGAAAGUGACUUUAAAACUUAUGAGCCCACGAAAGCUAGGAAAA